UUGAUCUCAAAUCAGGUAGGACUACCCGCUGAACUUAAGCAUAUCAAUAAGCGGAGGAAAAGAAACUAACAAGGAUUCCCCUAGUAACUGCGAGUGAAGCGGGAAGAGCUCAAAUUUAAAAUCUGGCGUGCCUCUGGUCGUCCGAGUUGUAGUCUGGAGAAGYGUUUUCCGUGUUGGACCGUGUAUAAGUCUCUUGGAACAGGGCGUCAUAGAGGGUGAGAAUCCCGUCUUUGACACGGACUACCAAUGCUAUGUGAUGCGCUCUCAAAGAGUCGAGUUGUUUGGGAAUGCAGCUCAAAAUGGGUGGUAAAUUCCAUCUAAAGCUAAAUACAGGCGAGAGACCGAUAGCGAACAAGUACCGUGAGGGAAAGAUGAAA
RNAcentral lists this ribosomal RNA (377 nucleotides) under uncultured Thelephoraceae. RNAcentral describes it as "eukaryotic LSU rRNA". It matches the Rfam family "Eukaryotic large subunit ribosomal RNA", at positions 1 to 369 of the family's 3401-position model. The record is from RNAcentral. Lineage: Eukaryota; Fungi; Basidiomycota; Agaricomycetes; Thelephorales; Thelephoraceae.